AUAUGAGAUACUCUAUACUUUAAUAGGCAGAAGGGAGGUUAGGGCAUACCUUGUGAUCAGACUUGGAGGCAGUGACGGUGCAAGAGACAAGGUAGAGGGGAGGUAGAGAGGCAAAGAUCGAAAGUCAAAGGACAUCACCAUGAUUGGAUUCAAGAGCUUAGAGAUUGAAUAUGCCUUUCUCAUCAAGAUUUUUCCUUAGUCCUUUCCCCCACUCCCUCAAUUGAGUCUCAAAGAGAAAGAAAGAGAGAGAGA
RNAcentral lists this long non-coding RNA (252 nucleotides) under Elaeis guineensis (African oil palm). RNAcentral's name for it is "long non-coding RNA (EGUI_LNC017197)". The record is from RNAcentral. Lineage: Eukaryota; Viridiplantae; Streptophyta; Magnoliopsida; Arecales; Arecaceae.